UAAAUUUCUACCAGGCAGGAAACAGCUAGAAACAAGGUUGAGUGUUCAGUCUGCCUUCCUGCAGGAAAGGUGAUUCCCUGGAUAAUUUCACAUUAGGCUUUAAGAGCUCCUUUCCUGUGGCAUUGUGGGGGUGGAAAAAGAAGCCAGUCUUUUAUCUUUAUGGAAAUCUCACUGUUCGGAUACAAAAGUCUGUAAUAGAGAAUCGUUCCGCCUCUUAAAGGAGAUCUGUGGGGAAAGACCUGGCUGGACAGCCUUUUACAUAGCCCCAGUGAAAACAAUGCAGGAAUCUGAAAAGGUCAUUAGGAAAAUAAAAACUUAAAGUCCUGAAAAGCUUUCUGACAAUUGUCCAAGGCCAUGCAGUCCUGAGGACACAGAGGACACCAGCCAUCCCUCAGCCACGACCCACGAGCCAACCCAAUCAGACCACAACAUCUUGUCUUUCAGGAAAAUGUACUGAAUUUUGUACCAUGACCCCGAAAGCCUGGAUCAAAUUAAGAGUUUUAAUUCUCAAAGUCAUUUAUAUUGUGUCCCUAAAGCAUAUACAAUAAAUGUACGCAUCACUCAGGAUAUAUUAAAA
Molecule: long non-coding RNA, 577 nt
Filed under: Pan troglodytes (chimpanzee)
Lineage: Eukaryota; Metazoa; Chordata; Mammalia; Primates; Hominidae
Description: lincRNA
Source: RNAcentral